CCUACGGGGGGCAGCAGUGAGGAAUAUUGGUCAAUGGACGAGAGUCUGAACCAGCCAAGUAGCGUGAAGGAUGACUGCCCUAUGGGUUGUAAACUUCUUUUAUAUGGGAAUAAAAUGUUCCACGUGUGGGAUUUUGUAUGUACCAUAUGAAUAAGGAUCGGCUAACUCCGUGCCAGCAGCCGCGGUAAUACGGAGGAUCCGAGCGUUAUCCGGAUUUAUUGGGUUUAAAGGGAGCGUAGGUGGAUUGUUAAGUCAGUUGUGAAAGUUUGCGGCUCAACCGUAAAAUUGCAGUUGACACUGGCAGUCUUGAGUACAGUAGAGGUGGGCGGAAUUCGUGGUGUAGCGGUGAAAUGCUUAGAUAUCACGAAGAACUCCGAUUGCGAAGGCAGUUCACUGGACUGCAACUGACACUGAGGCUCGAAAGUGUGGGUAUCAAACAGGAUUAGAUACCCCAGUAGUC
RNAcentral lists this ribosomal RNA (460 nucleotides) under uncultured bacterium. RNAcentral describes it as "partial 16S ribosomal RNA". It matches the Rfam family "Bacterial small subunit ribosomal RNA", at positions 338 to 795 of the family's 1533-position model. The record is from RNAcentral.